Molecule: unclassified non-coding RNA, 137 nt
Organism: Callithrix jacchus (white-tufted-ear marmoset)
Lineage: Eukaryota; Metazoa; Chordata; Mammalia; Primates; Cebidae
Rfam family: Metazoan signal recognition particle RNA
About the family: The signal recognition particle (SRP) is a universally conserved ribonucleoprotein. It is involved in the co-translational targeting of proteins to membranes. The eukaryotic SRP consists of a 300-nucleotide 7S RNA and six proteins: SRPs 72, 68, 54, 19, 14, and 9.
Source: Ensembl
GCUGGGUGUGGUGGUGCACACCUGUAAUCCUGGCUACUCAGGAGGCUGAGGCAGGAGAAUCACUUGAACCCAGGAGGCGGGGGUUGCAGUGAGCCAUUGCACCCCAGCCUUGGCGACAAAGCGAGACUCUGCCUCAU